This is a non-coding RNA of Parasteatoda tepidariorum (common house spider), 862 nucleotides long. Lineage: Eukaryota; Metazoa; Arthropoda; Arachnida; Araneae; Theridiidae. The record is from RefSeq and is a predicted model, not a curated record.
UAUGCUAGAAAGAGAAUAAAUGUUAAAAGAUUCUUUCCUUGUAAGUAACUAGAAUUUUGUUUAUGUUUAGAAUAUUGCUUCUCGACGGAAAAACAUCAAGAUAUAUUUCACUCUUGGUUUGCGACGAAUAAUAGUCGGCCAUUUUGAAGGAAAAAAAAUUUUGAAUUGUGACAUUAUUUACUUCACUUCCGUUCGGAAGUAUUUUGUUCUCGUGAAAUCAUCUUUGACAGCAGUAAAUAAUGUUUACCUAUAUAAAUGUGAGUUAAAUUGGCGAUGACAGAUUUUACGAGUUAGUUUGUGAGAAAAUAAGUCACCUGUUUUUGUUUUGCAAAAAAGCAUAUUAGAAAAAAGGACCUUAAAGCAAGUGCAGAAACAAUCUUCACCAUGAGAUUUUCUUGGCCAACGAGACUUGGCAUCUUUCAAUUGCUUAUGGCUUGUUUACUAAUUGCUUUACUGACAAGUUCAGGUGAAGCCCAUGGUCCGAUGAUCAUUUUAAAAGGUAGCAGCCGUGGUCGGCAUGGCCAUCAUGGUGGUGGUUUUGGAGGAAUGGGUGCUCUCGGACUUUUAGCUGCAGGUGUAGCAGUAAAAAUGGCUCAUCAGUUCAUGAAAAAUCAUCAUGGAGGAUUCGGAGGAUUAGCUGCUCAUCACGGACCAGCGAUGGGACACUCAUUUGGCAGUCAUGAUGCUCAUCUUGCAGAUUAUGGAUAUACGCCACAAGAACAUGGGCAUUGGAUGCCAUAACUGAUUCCUCCUUACUAGUCAUUGUAAAUAAUUUAUGUGAAUAGAUGAAUAUGAAAUGUGUACAGAUGUAUGUACAUAGUACAAACACUGUUUUUUACUAAUAAAAUUGAGCUCAAUUUUA